Molecule: unclassified non-coding RNA, 147 nt
Filed under: soil metagenome
Description: partial internal transcribed spacer 1
Source: RNAcentral
UAAUAAGUGUUUUAUGGCACUUUUUAAAAUCCAUAUCCACCUUGUGUGCAAUGUCAGUCGAUCUUCUUUCAUGGAGAUCGACCAAACAUCAACCUUUAUCUUUUAACUCUUUGUCUGAAAAAUAUUAUGAAUAAACAAUUCAAAAUA